Molecule: long non-coding RNA, 359 nt
Organism: Camelus dromedarius (Arabian camel)
Lineage: Eukaryota; Metazoa; Chordata; Mammalia; Artiodactyla; Camelidae
Exons: 3
Source: RefSeq, a predicted model, not a curated record
UGGCUGUUGGCAGGAAGUAUCAUUUCCUCACUGGCUGUUGACUGGAAGCCCCAGUUCCUAGCUUCUGCAUAGAUUACCAUAAGGAAUGGAGGAGAGAAGAGAAUGACUCUCAGGAUUAUAGCAUCUUGGAAAUCCUGAGCAAAGACAGUCUGACAAGAAGAAAGAGGAAUUGUAAAGAGCAAGACGAAUUCAGUGCAGCCUCCCAGAGGACUGUUCAAAGAUCUCCAGGUAAAGAAAAAUCUGUUCUGGAAACAGGAGGAGAAAAGGAAAGUGGAAUAAAAUAAAAGUCUGCUGCAACAGUUAAGAAUUUUGGGACAGAGAUAAAGGCAGCAGAAAAGUGAAAUGAAUUCAUGCUCACA